RNAcentral lists this long non-coding RNA (269 nucleotides) under Gossypium barbadense (sea-island cotton). RNAcentral's name for it is "long non-coding RNA (GBAR_LNC006343)". The record is from RNAcentral. Lineage: Eukaryota; Viridiplantae; Streptophyta; Magnoliopsida; Malvales; Malvaceae.
AACCAAUGGUUCAACGAGUUUAAACAAGCAAAUACGGCUACUUCACCUUCUCCACCCCCUGUUGUGCCUCCUCUGGCAUCCUUGAAUACUACCACCCCUGCAUCAGUGUUGGUUACUCGGGUAUCUGUAGAUAAGGUUCGAAAAUGUGGUGCAGAAGAGUUUAGAGGUAUGGUAGAUGAUGAUUCGUCAAAAGCUGAGUACUAGCUAUUAAAUACAAAGAGAGUUUUUGCAGAAUUAUUGUAUAACCCUAAAGAUUGUUUGAGAUGUGC